This 1434-nucleotide long non-coding RNA is filed under the name Sus scrofa (pig). Its description in RNAcentral is "lncRNA (ENSSSCG00070001400.1)". The record is from RNAcentral. Lineage: Eukaryota; Metazoa; Chordata; Mammalia; Artiodactyla; Suidae.
GUUUCUCCUUCUCUAUUCUGAUCUUGGAAAAAUAGUUUAAUUAACAUCCAUGAAUUUUUUUUUCUUUGCUGCAUCUAUGACAUAUGGAAGUUCCCAGGCCAGGGAUCGAAUCCCAGCUGCAACUGCAACCUACACCACAGCUACAGCAAUGCCUGAUCCUUAACCCACUGCACCACAGUGGGAACUCCCAAUAUCCAUCAAUUUUCAGUUACUGUGUAGGUGCUGAUGAUUAGAAGAUGAUAAAGGUAUAAACCCUUAGUGUCUUCUCAAUGUAAUUAGAGAACUAUAGUGUAAAAAUUAAAUCAUUUGUGAGGCAUGGGAGUGAGUGAGUAACCUUUGCUCUGGUCUGAAAAUAGGUUACAACAGACCUCCUGGAAGAGUUGAUGCCAGAGUUGAAUUUGGAAGGUUAUUAACGGCAUGGCACCCAAGAGAAUCACUCCACGUGAUUGAGCUAAUUCCGCAACCUGGAUAUACCCAUGUGCAUUACAACAGCAUGAAGAACACCUGAAUAUCCACUAAUCCCAGUGCCAAAAUCCUGGACAAGUGCCAGAAUUUCUGCAUAUGGUUGAUGGGAAUCUCAUGCCAGCUUGUGGGAAAUUCCUGUACUCUUCCCAUUGCCUCUCUCCUCCAACCUCUUUGACCAUUCUGCUGGUCAGACUUAUGGGUCAUGCAGGUUUCCUCUCAGUGAGUGACUGCAAGUCUAAAGGAGAAGAUUUGGUGAGACAGACAUAGGUCCUCCAUCAUCAGGGUCAUGCUGUACAUAUCAGAUCUUUCCAGGAGUGCUGUGUGAGGUGGAGGGGAAAGUGUUCACCUGGGACACUUAAAGGUAUGGAUGAAACUCAAAUUAGCUUUAAAAAUGUGGCAUUUUUGCUUUCUGCAAUAGCACACACAGACACCAGGCAUAAACAUAUUCAUGAAGUAAAAAAAUGUAGUUACAUUUAAAGAGAAUAAUAACAUUUACUUUUCUAAUUAAUUGCAAGAAGAAGAGGUAAGAAGGGGGAAGAGAAGAAAGAGGAGGAGGAGAAAAAAAAGGAAGAAUGAAAAUAAGAAAAAAACUAUUUUAAAAAAUACUUACAAUACUUCCAUUCAGAGAUAAUCUUCAUUAACAGUUUCGUGAACAAUAUCCAAAUUUGUUUUAGAAGUACAUAUUAUACAGUUAUUGCAACUGUUUUUUGAUUUGACUUUGUGUCAUUUUACGUAAAGUAAUUAUGGAACUAAUAUAUAAAAAGGUAUUUGUGAGAAUUCUAAUCUCAGCUCUGUUUACACUAGUCUGUCCAGUUUUUAAAUUUAGUCUUUUAGUGUCCUUAUCUUUAUUGCUUUAAAAUGAUAACAAACACAAUAGCAAACAGAAAAAUUCUACUAUGAUAAAAUAGUAGCAUUAAUAUUUUUGUAUUUUUAAAUAAAAUCUCUACCCAUGUUUUUUAAUAAAUAUUU